AACGAGAGGUGGAUUACAGAUCAUAUAUACGAUAGUAUACUAGUUGAUCAUAGUCAUAUAUACGCCCUGAAAUGCCACUAGCUGUGGAUUUCGGAUUCCUUUGUAAAGCUUCAAGGUGCAGGCAUCACUCAUGCGAAGCUGGCAACAAUGGCAGCAGAGCUAUCCUACUAUUCAAGCUUCAAGCUAGCAUAUUUGGAUAACAGCUCCUACAUGAAAAUGUGCAAUUCAGUUUACCGAACUCCUGAGAAGCGUUUUCCUUUUGUCAUCCUAUGUGCAAUUCAUGAUGUUACGAGACUGAGAUACAGAACACUGUACAUCCAGUAAUUUUGUUUUGGUGGUCUGGGAUAGGUAGAACUCUGCUCUGGCUUCCUCCUGGUUCAAGCACCGAUCAACCUGAGAAAAUAGAAAGAGAACGAAUUAUAGGUUGUUACAUAAACAUAGAAUUGACUUCUUUGGGAUGCCAAAGUUUCAAGCAUUACUGACCUUCCGCAGGUAAUUGGAGAAGGAAUCACCCCAAAACCACCACUCCAAAGAUAGCUGAGAGUAGUAAGCAGCAGCUUCUGCUAGCAUUAUCUGCUCCAGUUUUUCAUAAUAGUUGGUGGUUCCAUUCCCUCCAACCUCUAAAAAGAAAUCAAGUACCCUCUUUAGUAGGUUCCGAUCAAUCUGCCCCCCUUCACGCUCUUGAAUGAUCUGCCCAUAAAGUCAUAUGCAGGGUUAAACCAACCUCAGAAAGAAGACAACCCAUUAUAAAACAACCAGUGAAUGCUAACUGACCAGCCUCAUCAUUGCUUCCUGCAAUUUACUGAAUAGCUCAUCACAGACCUGAAAAUAAGAUUGGAUAUGAUGCUCAGCCAAAUAGUGUAAGGGAACAGAAGCAAGAAUAAGAACUAAACUACUUCAUGUAGUUACUUACCAAAUUGCAGAAGUCAUAUCUCAUGGAGUCAGCAGGUGAUGGAUGUCUUUUCCUACGGAUGUAGAAAUUAUCCAGGUCUGCAAAGGUUUUUGACAAUUCCUUAUACUCCAGCCAUAAUCGCGUGAUUUCUGUUAAAAGCUCUGUACCAUGUUUGUCCAUUAACACUGGAAGUACCUAAAAGAGCAUGCAAGGAUGGAAAACAACGGGAUGUGUUCAUUAUUAUAUUCAUUGCACUUUGACAAAGAUGAAAGCAAAAGAAAUUGAAACCCUUCUCAACUGCCACGUCUCAUUUCUCCACUUUUGUAAAUUACAAAGACCACCAAUCUAGACUAAGCUAGAUAGCUAGAGAAAACAAAAUUGGGUAUGCAUAACCAUGAGUAAAGCAUCUUGCAAAAUUAUCCUAUGCAAUAAGUUAUAAACAAGAGAGCAUGUCAUAGUGAGAGUUUCUCAUGCUUUGACAUUCUUAGCCAACACAUUUAAGAUACAUGAGAGCCAAUUCUACCAGAGAAAUUAUGCAGAAGCGAAGAAACUGACAGAAUUAUUGAUUAUUUAUGGUAGAAAUCUCACCCUUUCUUGAAUUAUCUCACUUAAACAGUUCGUAUACUUCUCAUAAACCAGGCUGCAAGAGUCCCCACGCUUCCUUGUGCACAAAUUGUAUACACAACUAUCACAAGUGUUAAGGAUAUGCCAAUUCUCGGCAACUAAAAUCACAUUCAGGAAUAUUGAUUUAUCUCGUCAAGUAGAAAAGAAAUCAAGAUAUCAAACUUCGACAUGUAAGUAAACCAUAUUGCAGGAUACUCAUAAGCAAUCAUUUUUUCCGCAGGUGUAAAUGGAAUCACAGGGUGUCCAUCCAUAAUCAUCUUCUUCUUCGUAAUUAUAUCAUCUAUCUUCUUUAGCUUCUCAUUCAACAUCAUGUCAGCAUCCAUCUUCAUUUAGCUGCAGUCGAAAACAUUUAAAAUUGUAAUGAUCGAAGUUCAAAAUCAAAGAAAGAGAUAGCAUGCAUAUCUGUAUUGCACACUCAUCCGACUAUUUCUCAUUUUCCUUUUAAAAAUAGAAUUUCUAAAGUCUACAAUAGCAUCCAAAACCCUUUGAACAGACUAGAAAGUUUCUGGCGUUGACAAUUAAACUUUAUACCAAACAAACUACAUCCAAGGUCCUGCUCUAAUUAAGACCUGAAAAAGGAGUACACUUGUAGUGAAAAAUAUCAAGAGACUACUGCCAUAGGAGACAGUGUACAAGCACACAUUCCAGAACUAAUUCAAGAUUCAAUCAAUAUCCAUAAAGCAUGAAACUUUAGGUGACCCCAUAUACCAAAAAACAUACAACCAGCAGUGUCAAGCAUGUUUGGAGAGAUUAAAAAUUGGACAUUCACAGCCAGACAGAAAAAUCGCAAAAAAAAUACUCAAAGCAAGGAAAUUUACAUCACCCCACAUGCCCCAACACAGAAAGAAACACUAUCAAGCUGGUUGGAAAUCUUAAGAGAUUACAAAUUAGAAACUAAUUUCUUUUCCUACGUUGCACGCAAAACCCCAUCACAAAUUUUGCACCUUUUGACCAUCAAAAUUACAAAUUGUAAUUGUAAUAAUAUUCACUAAAACCCACGUGAUCAAUGGCCAAAAACAAUUAAAAUACGUUCAAGAACUACCUGGUUAAGCAAAAGAGUGAAACAAGAAUCAAAUGCAGCAGAGAGAGAGGAAGUGAAGAAAAAAGUGGGGUUUGCAUUAUACUUAUAGGGAAAGCAGCUUGCAGGGGAAGUUGAAGGGAAAGGUGGGGCUUGCAUAUACUUGUAAGGAGAAGCCACCUUGCAGUGAAAGUUGAUAGGACAUAGGUCCAUAGACCAUAGGCUGUUGUUUCUUAUGUAAUAAUUGUUAUACUUUUUAAAAAUAUUUAAAAAUAUAUUAAAAUAAUAUUUUUUUAAUUUUUAAUAUUAUUAUAUUAAAAAAAACAUGUUAAUUUGAUAUUUUUUCAUAUACAAAAUAAUUUUAAAAAUAAUUUGAAUUAAUUUAAAUAAAAUUCAAUAAAGCAUAAAUAAUGAUAGCCAUAGUUGUAAGAAACUACUUAAAUGAAUUCAUUUGAUUCAAGAUUCAGAUUGAGAAUUAAGUGGUUUAAUAUGUAAAUUAAUUUAUAAAUUAUAAUUUAAAAAAUAAAAUAUAAAAUGAUGUUAUUUUAAUUAUAUAUAAAAAAAAACAAUUCAAAUAAAACUUGAUGUAAACCACAUUUUGGGUCAAUGAAUUACUAGAUUGGCAAGUCAGACAAAGUCAAUUUUUAUAAUUAUGAUAGUAAAGGCUAAGUUGCUUAGUGAAAAAUGGCACUAAAAUAUAAUGUGUUUAGAAAUGUGGUAAUUUUUAUUUUUAUGUGUGUUUUAAAAGUGCAUUUUAUUUGAAAAGAAAGACAAAUAGUAAAUUGAUAUUUUUUUAGUGUUUUUUUUAUAAUUUUAAUGUGUUGAUGUCAAAAAUAAAUAAAAAAUCUAAAAAAAAUAUUUGAUGUAUUUUCAAGCAAAAACUAUUUUAAAAAAAUAUUUUACAUCACAAUACCAAACAUACAUGAUUCAAAUUGAGGACUAAGUGGUUUAAACCGUAGAAUUAAUUUAUAAAUUAUGAUUUAAAAAAUAAAAAUAUGAAAUGAUGUUGUUUAAAAUAUUUUUCUAAACAAUGUUAUUUUAAUUAUAUAUAUAUAUAUAUAUAUAUAAAUUUAGUAAAACUUGAUGUAAACCAUAUCUUGGGUUAAUAAAUUACUAGAUUGACAAAUCAAGCAAAAUCAAGUUUUAUAACUAUGGUUGUAAAUGCUAAGUUGUUUGGUGAAAAGUGGCACUAAAAUAUUAUGAGUAUUUGAAAGUGUUUUAUCUUUUAUUUUUAUAUGUGUUUUAAAAGUGCAUCUCAUUUGAAAAAAAUAUUAAAUUAAUGUGUUUUUUGCUUUUUUAUAAUUUUAAUGUCUUGAUGUCAGAAAUAAAUAAAAAAUCUAAAAAAAAGUAUAUAAUGUAUUUUCAAGUAAAAAUUAUUUUUUAAAAUACUUUAUAUCAUAGAAUUGAGGUUGACUUGACUUGAGGUUGAAAUAUUUAAAAGACAUAUUAUACUAUAACUUAAAAUGCGUGAAUUUUUUUUAUUAUAGAGGCAAUUAUUGUUUAUGCACACACAAAUCACUAUGAAUAGAAUUGUUAUGCACUAUGCAUUUGUUAAAAUUUUAUUUUGGUCCUUAAAGUUUUUUUCUCGAUGAUUUAAUUCUAAUUAAAGGCCAAUUGAUUGUAAUUUUUUAGGAAAAGGUGGGGUUGAAAGAAGAGGGACUAUAAUGAAAAAGGUGUCAAACAUGGAUGACAUGCCAUAAGUUUUGACAACAAAUACACUUUGAUCCUCAAACUUUAAAAAUAACAUAAAUUAUACAAUUUCAGUACCUCAAUAUUUUUCAAGUUUAAUUUUUGUACAAAAACUUAUUUUUAUUAUUUUUUAGUCCCUGACUAGACAGAUGAGAGAAAAAGGUCGUCGAAUUACAAAAGUAGUAAGAGAAAAAAUAUUGUUGAUACCGAUUUAAGUCAUCAAAACAGUCAAUAUUUGUGUCAAAUGGUUCCAAUUGAUGAUGAGAAUUUAUAUUAAGUAUUUUUUUUCCCUAAAAGUCCUUGAAAAUACAUAUACAAGCUCAAUUUGAAUUUUGGUUUCUGGUUUAUUUUAGUUUUUUGGGUGGUUUUUUUUUUCCCCAAGAUAAAUUUAUCACAGUUUUAAUGUUUUCUAGGUUUUUAUUCAAGCCACCUGCCCUAAAUGAAGCAAAAAAAUAAAAAUAAAGACCCAAUCGACCCAUCCUUCCAGGGCAAGUCCAUGCACGAGCCUUGAAGAAAUGGGCUAGUCAGGCCCAACAACACCUAGCUUUUUUCUGUUUUUUAAUUAAUGUUUUUUAUUUUAUUUGUAUUUAGAUUAAUAUCUCUUCUCUAUUUUAUUUUGUUUAAAAAACCUCUUUUAAAUUAGUUAAAAAACAGGUGUUUUGAAAAAAAAAAAAGUUAGAAGUCCAAUUUUCCAAUUAUCAGAAUAUUUUUUUUCAAGUCACCCUACCCCAAAUGCAGCAAAAACAAUAAGGGCUCAGUCGCUCCAUUUUUCAACACAAGUCCAGGCACGAGCCUUGAAAAAAUGAGCCAGACAAGCUAGCUUGAUACAAAAGCGCCUGGUUUUUUUUGUUUUUUUAAUUAAUAUUUUUUUAUUUCAAUAUUUUUUAUUUUAUUUGUAUUUAGAUUAAUAAUUCUUUUCUUUUUUAUUUUGUUUUGAAAGCUUCUUUUAAAUAACAAUUAUUUUUUAGUUAUAUAUAUAAUUUUUGAAAAAAAAUUUCUUAUUCAUCUAUAAUCUUUUAUAAUUUUUUUUAAUAUUUUGUAUAUAUGAACUUUGUUUUGAAGAGGGGAAAAAAUUUAUUUGCAGAUAAUAUAUUGCAUAAUAUUUUUUUAUUUAAAUAAUUAAUGUGUAUUUAUUUAUAUUAUCAUUUAAUUGAAUAAAAAACCAUUUAACUACUUAGAAAAUUUUUAUAUAAACAAGUUAAACCAUUUUUAUAUAACAUUCUACAGAAAAGUUUGUGCUGGGAAGACCCCCAGCAUGUAAUCUAGGGAGAUUUGUCUUAACCAUAUCCUCUCAGUAAAGUUUUGGGAUCUAAGAUCCCUGCCACAUUAACAUCAGAGUGUUUAGAUUUGUGGUUUAGCGUAUUUUUUAAUACUAUUUAAAAAUAUAUUAAAAUAAUAUUUUUUAAAAUUUUUAACAAACAUAUAAAAAAAACUAAAAAGUAUUAUUUUAAAAAAUAAAAAUACGGUUCAACUUUAUCUCCGCGGCACACCACAAAUACAAACACAAAUUACUCGGUAGAAUGCAAGUAGAGAAGUUAUAUAGACAAGUUAAACCAUUUAACUGACUUCAUUGUCACACUCAGGAGAGUUGGAUUGCAGAUCAUACGCAAUUCAUGCUGCUGAAUAUUAUAACAGAACGAUAGUAUACUAGUUUAAAGGAUUUCAUAUUCGUAUAUACACCCUGAAAUGCCACCAGCUGUGGAUUUCGGAUUUCUUUGUAAAGCUCCAAGGCGCAGGCAUCACUCAUGCGAAGCUGGCAACAAUGGCAGCAGAGCUGUCCUACUAUUCAAGCUUCAAGCUAGCAUAUUUGGAUAACAGCUCCUG
RNAcentral lists this long non-coding RNA (6047 nucleotides) under Populus tremula. Its description in RNAcentral is "long non-coding RNA (PTRE_LNC002433)". Lineage: Eukaryota; Viridiplantae; Streptophyta; Magnoliopsida; Malpighiales; Salicaceae. The record is from RNAcentral.